This 2591-nucleotide long non-coding RNA is filed under the name Homo sapiens (human). RNAcentral describes it as "HSALNT0035929". The record is from RNAcentral. Lineage: Eukaryota; Metazoa; Chordata; Mammalia; Primates; Hominidae.
GGAAACCCUCUGGGUCUCCAGCCCAGGCAGUUGCAGCCAGGCCCCCGGCUACUCUGGCCUCCAGGAUCUGGGGAGCAUGGAGCAGCUUCUGGGAGCUCACUGACUGGGGCCAUUAGCAACUGGACAUUCUGGGCUGGGGUCUGAGGCUGAGCAGAGGGGCCUGGUGGGUGGAGAAGGGUGGAGGGAGGUGAAAUUCUGGUGCACGCAGAAGCCAACAAUCCUAUUGUGCCUGGUGAGCAACCUGUGUUGAGGUGGUGUGCCCGUUCCCCUGCCUUAAGGAGGGGCUUCAGUCCCCAGAGGGAGAAGACUUCGGCUCUGGGCGCCUUCCCUGGGGGGCAUGGGACACUCCCCUGCAUUGUGACCUUGGGCCUUUAUCCUCUGGGUUUCUCUGGUCCAGCAGGCCUGGCCAGGGCAAGGCUGGGCACGUGCAGGCCAGUCUGCAGACCUAGUGCUCAGGAGCGGUCACGGAGCACCUCCUCUGGCCUCCAGGAGUGCAUCACAGGCUGAAGAGGCAGCCGUGCUUGAGCCCAGAAUGGAGGAGAAGUCGGGAGGGCUGGGCUGGGACACAGAAGGAUCCACAGAAGAGGCAGGCUCUAUACUGGUUCAUCUUGGGCCAGGCACUGGCAUCAGGGGCCUCAGUCCUUUAAGUCCAUACGAGGGGCAGGAGUCCUGGGAGAGGCUUGCCAGGGCAUCCCCUGAGCCUGGACAGCAUGGGCCAGGACCAGCGUCCCUGCCUCAGCCACUGCUCAGCUCCCCUCCCUUGGCCUCCUCUGGCUGAGGGGGAUAUUUACUGAGGGUAGGGGGGUGGCCUGAAGAUGGGGAGCAGUGAGGGGUUGGGGAGGAGGAGAGAGAUGGGUGAGGAGGAGGAGAACAAAGAGACAGUGGGUACGUAGAGGAAAAGGAGAGAGAAGGGAGGAAGGCAGGUGGCCCCCCAGCUGCAGGCCUUCCCUGCUGGCACACAGGGCGCCUCCCUGGGCACCACCCUCCUGCCCUUCUCCGGGGUCCUCCCACGGGGUCUGGGUAAGGGCAGCACACCCUCCGGGCCAUCCUGUGUCCCUCGUGCCUCUCCCUUGCCCUCAGCACCCAGGCCAGCAGAAAGGAGCCUCCUGGCUUGGGGGUUCUGGCUUAGUGACUGCUGUCAUUGGGGCUGCUCCCGGGGGCCCUCACUCGGCCCUGCUCCUGGGUGAUCUUGCAGCCACAGCUCCCAGCCCUGUGCUGGCAAAGCACUGGGUGUGCCUGACCCCUGCAGGCUCUAGGAAGCUGGACCUAGGUCGCUACUGCCUUUGCCAGGCCCAGCCUGAGAUGCCCUUGGUGGCCACUGGGAGCCACUCCUCCAGGGUCUUACCUCUCUCAGACUAAACCUGAGUCCUGCCCCUGCCCCUGGGGAAACAGAGGCAGGCACUUCCUGCCCAGGCCCUGCUCUGGGUGAGUUGAGCUGGGGAUAGGGCCACACACCUCUCUGGGCAGCAGCUACACCCCUGAAGGAAUCAGGGGACAUUGGUGGUGACCUCUUCUGGGUUGCAACACUCAAAUGAGAGAUUCAUUCAUAGUCACAAAUGUGUGGUGUGUGUGUUCUGGGGUAUGUGUGUUGUGUGUGUGUGUGUGGCAGGUGUGUGGUCAUCCUGUGUUUGUGUGUGAGGAGAGGGCUGAGGCCAGGGCCCCAGAAAUGGCCCUGCUUGACCGCCCCCGCCGUCCAGGAACCUGCUUCCUUCUGGGUGGUGCUGGCUAAGUAGGGAAGGGGCCACUCACCUGUGCUGUCUGAGAAAUGGACUCGGGGCUUGUAUCAGGCAGGGCUGUGUCCACGUGAAAUGUGGGCAGGGCACUGGUGGGUGGUGGUGGGUCUCAGGGCUGGUGGUCAGGAGUACAGGUUCAUGGGCUGCGGAGGGGCAGCUGGGGCAUGUGAGCCGGGGUGGGCCCCUCCCCCAUGGAUCUGGGGGCUGGCUCCUGGGGCCGCUGGGACCAUGGCAGGACUAAUCACGGAGGGCUCUGAGGGCUGUCCUGGGACUAGGGAGGCCACAUCACUGUGGUGUGUCUGGGUGUCCAUGGGUAAUGGAGAGGAUGCUUAGGCUUGGCCGUGCAGCACUGUGUGCAGGAGGACAGGUGUGUGAGUGUGGCUAUGUAAGUGCAGGGUGUGUGUGUAUGAGUCUGUGUGCACAUAACACAUGUAUGCGUGUGUGUGCACACCUGACCCUCUCUGGGUGUCUGGGUGGCUCCAUGAGCAGUGAUGGCCUCAGCUUUUCCAGGCGCAGUCAUUCUUGAGGAAGCAUCAUCGGAUUUGGGCCCUGAUCCUCCCUGAUCAGUCUCUUCCUGUCUGGCGUCACCCCGGCCAUCUGUGCUCUAAACCUGAGCCUCAGCUCCCCAUGCCCCUCACCCGCCCCCACCUCCUGCAGCUCCCCAGCUCUCUCUGGCUGUGGUGGGGGCAACCUCUCUUCUCUGGCCUUCACCCUAUGCUGAAUACAUGUCCCUCUUCCAGAUUAUAAAACUGGGCAGCAGCUGGCCUCUCUCAGCUGCUCCCAGGCCCCGUCUCAGGGAGGAGGAGCCCUGGCAGGGCCUGGGGUGACAGGGGAGAGGAGGGAACCUCCUCCUUCCUC